AUUUAAUAACUUUUUUUUUCUUGGUACAGGAAACUGAACUCAGGGGUGCUUAAGCUCUGAGGCACAUCCCCAGUCCUUUUUAUUUUUUAGCUAAAUUGCUGAGACUGGCUAUGACCUUGCAAUCCUCUGCUUCAGCUUCUUGAGUCACUGGGAUUGUAGGCAUGCACCACCAUGCCCAGCCUAAAACCAUCUUUUGAAGUAGUAGCUAUCAAGUCCAAACUCAACUUGUCUAAUGAAACUUUUUUAAAAUUUAACAACCAAGGUAGGAAAAGUUGAACAACAGCAUCCCACAAGCAAUAUCUUUAUCAUUAGAAUUUUGACUGAUUUUAAUAACAAUACACUGAAAAAGUCGGAGCAGGACAAAUAGAGGUCUAGAAUGUGAAGCAUAUUGCAAAAGAUAAAAAUUGCUAGUGGAGUCAGAUAGGCAAGAUAUUUCUCUUUAAUGCAAGCAAGGGAUACAAAGGAAGAAUAAGUUUGAAAAAUGCAACAGCGGACCUAGCAUGGGCGGGACCCAGGUUUGAUCCUCAGCACCACAUAAAGAUGAGUGCAUUGUGUUGUGUCCAUCUACACUUAUAAAAAAUAAAUAUUAAAAAAAUGUUUAAAAAAAAAGAAAAUAAUACAGUCUUAAGUAAUGGGGACAGUCUUGAGUAAUGGAUCUGAGACAAUUAUUUUUGUCCAUUUUUUUUUUUAAAUAAGAAACUUCUAUCAGAAAGUACAGUAUAUUCCACAACCAGCUUUUGAGAAUUCAAGCUGAAUUCAGGGAAGAUUGGAUUCUGAAUAAGUUAGUUUCUGGAACAACUAUUUGUCCUGUCAUAACAUCCAUUGAUAUACAGCUACCUGUCCAUUUUAAUAAAGCACACUACAUAACGUUUUUCCUCAGUUAAAAUAAAGAAAUUUCUAGAAAAAUAUUAUUUAACCUUUAGGGUAUUUUUGUGAACAAGUUGGAAGAAUUUUGAAUUUCUCAGAUAUAUUAUAAUUCCAAAUAAUCAUUGCUCAAUUAAAAAUCAACCUAAUAUAAAACUUUUUAUUUCUGGAAUUUUUUUUCUGUUUUUUUUUUCUUUUAUUGGUGCAUUAUAAUUACACAUAAUAGUGAGAUUCAUUAUGC
This 1105-nucleotide long non-coding RNA is filed under the name Marmota monax (woodchuck). The record is from RNAcentral. Lineage: Eukaryota; Metazoa; Chordata; Mammalia; Rodentia; Sciuridae.